RNAcentral lists this ribosomal RNA (429 nucleotides) under Gemmatimonadota bacterium. Its description in RNAcentral is "Gemmatimonadetes bacterium partial 16S ribosomal RNA". It matches the Rfam family "Bacterial small subunit ribosomal RNA", at positions 355 to 776 of the family's 1533-position model. Lineage: Bacteria; Pseudomonadati; Gemmatimonadota. The record is from RNAcentral.
UAGGGAAUCUUCGGCAAUGGACGAAAGUCUGACCGAGCAACGCCGCGUGAGUGAAGAAGGUUUUCGGAUCGUAAAACUCUGUUGUUAGAGAAGAACAAGGACGUUAGUAACUGAACGUCCCCUGACGGUAUCUAACCAGAAAGCCACGGCUAACUACGUGCCAGCAGCCGCGGUAAUACGUAGGUGGCAAGCGUUGUCCGGAUUUAUUGGGCGUAAAGCGAGCGCAGGCGGUUUCUUAAGUCUGAUGUGAAAGCCCCCGGCUCAACCGGGGAGGGUCAUUGGAAACUGGGAGACUUGAGUGCAGAAGAGGAGUGUGGAAUUCCAUGUGUAGCGGUGAAAUGCGUAGAUAUAUGGAGGGACACCAGUGGCGAGGGCGGCUCUCUGGUCUGUAACUGACGCUGAGGCUCGAAAGCGUGGGGAGCAAACAGG